GACGAACGCUGGCGGCGUGCUUAACACAUGCAAGUCGAACGAAGUGGCGAACGGGUGAGUAACGCGUAAUCAACCUGCCCUUCAGAGGGGGACAACAGUUGGAACCGACUCCUAAUACCGCAUACUGAAGGAGGGGAUUGCGUCUGAUUAGCUCGUUGGAGGGGGAAUGGCCCACCAAGGCGAUGAUCAGGCGCAGGUCUGGGAGGAUGAACGGCCAAAUUGGGACUGGGACACGGCCCAGACUCCUACGGGAGGCAGCAGGGGGGAAACUUCCGCAAUGGACGAAAGUCUGACGGAGCAACGCCGCGUGAGUGAUGACGGCCUUCGGGUUGUAAAGCUCUGUUAAUCGGGACGCGGUACCGGAAUAGAAAGCCACGGCUAACUACGUGCCAGCCGCCGCGGUAAUUC
This 408-nucleotide ribosomal RNA is filed under the name uncultured bacterium. Its description in RNAcentral is "partial 16S ribosomal RNA". It matches the Rfam family "Bacterial small subunit ribosomal RNA", at positions 28 to 526 of the family's 1533-position model. The record is from RNAcentral.